RNAcentral lists this unclassified non-coding RNA (350 nucleotides) under Melanogaster broomeanus. RNAcentral's name for it is "sequence contains 5.8S rRNA gene". The stretch from base 1 to 70 matches the Rfam family "5.8S ribosomal RNA", at positions 85 to 154 of the family's 154-position model. Lineage: Eukaryota; Fungi; Basidiomycota; Agaricomycetes; Boletales; Melanogastraceae. The record is from RNAcentral.
GUGAUCAUCGAAUCUUUGAAUGCACCUUGCGCUCCUUGGUAUUCCGAGGAGCAUGCCUGUUUGAGUGUCAUUGAAUUCUCAACCAUCCUUUGAUUGAUUUCGAGGGAUGGCUUGGAUCUUGGGAGUUGCUGGCUACCCCUCGGGGACGGUCGGCUCUCCUUAAAAGCAUUAGCGAAAGGUUGACAAGCCCUGCAUGCACGGCCUUUGACGUGAUAAUGAUCGUCGUGGCUGGAGUGUGAGGCGUAGAUUCGAUCUUUGCUUCCAAAAACAUGGUAUUGGGGGUACUUGCGACCCUUUUUACUUUUUGACGCUUGACCUCAAAUCAGGUAGGACUACCCGCUGAACUUAAG